This 471-nucleotide ribosomal RNA is filed under the name uncultured organism. RNAcentral describes it as "partial 16S ribosomal RNA". It matches the Rfam family "Bacterial small subunit ribosomal RNA", at positions 335 to 797 of the family's 1533-position model. The record is from RNAcentral.
ACUCCUACGGGAGGCAGCAGUGGGGAAUAUUGCACAAUGGGCGCAAGCCUGAUGCAGCCAUGCCGCGUGUAUGGAGAAGGCCUUCGGGUUGUAAAGUACUUUCAGCGGGGAGGAAGGCAAUACGGUUAAUAACCGUGUUGAUUGACGUUACCCGCAGAAGAAGCACCGGCUAACUCCGUGCCAGCAGCCGCGGUAAUACGGAGGGUGCAAGCGUUAAUCGGAAUUACUGGGCGUAAAGCGCACGCAGGCGGUCUGUCAAGUCGGAUGUGAAAUCCCCGGGCUCAACCUGGGAACUGCAUUCGAAACUGGCAGGCUUGAGUCUUGUAGAGGGGGGUAGAAUUCCAGGUGUAGCGGUGAAAUGCGUAGAGAUCUGGAGGAAUACCGGUGGCGAAGGCGGCCCCCUGGACAAAGACUGACGCUCAGGUGCGAAAGCGUGGGGAGCAAACAGGAUUAGAAACCCCAGUAGUCCCA